AGGAUUAAUAUUUUCCUCUGAAAUAUUACUAUCUGGAGACAAAAUGCUAAGCUGAGUAAUUUUUUAUCCUAAUUCACUUUCUUUAACAAAAUUGGAUUGUUAAAACAUUGCUAUGCUAUUGAGUGAAGAUAGAUAGAUGGAUAGAUAGAUAGAUAGAUAGAAAGAAAGAAAGGAAGGAAGAAAAAGAAAGAAAUGCCCCCCCCCCAGGAGGCUGCAUGGCAUAAUAAGAAACAAGAUAUAAAAUAAAUCAGAACAUUUUGGACAAAAAGGAUUUUAUAGCAUACCACAAGAUGAUGCCAUUAUAAUUUCAUCUUCUUCAAAUUACCAAGUAUAAAAUAUUAAUAUUAGUAAUAGCAAUAAUAUUAAUUAAUAAUAAUAAUAAUAUUCAGAUGCACUCUUUUAGAGUCCAGUAAAACCAUGUUCCACGUGGUAGCUCUGUAUAUCCAUCUGUGCUGCCCUGUCACUAUCACCCCAGUUGCUAAUGUGUCAAUUCAGCAUUGUGCAAGAUUUCAGAUUAUUUUGCCAAACUUUUAAGUUGUUCUGUUACAGCAGACUCAAUGCUAACAACAAUUUUUUCAUCUCACUUAUCCAUUUAGAAGCUUAGUCACAGUAAUUUGGUCUUCCCAUCAUACUAUGUAUAAUAAAUCAUAUUCUAAAUGUUGCCUUUAAUUAACUACUGUUUGCAUGUGUGAAAAGUUUUUGUAAACACAAAACAAAGCUGUCUCUCAAAAUGAACUGAAAUAACCAUUUCUAAUUGCCUCUUAAAAAAUAGUAGAGCUAAAAAUGAGGAGAAUACAGAACUCAAGAGGGAUUUAUUUAUUUUUUUAUUUUUUUUUCUUUUAAUUAUUUUUUAUUUAUUCUAAUUUGUUUUAUAUGACAGCAGAAUGCAAUUCAAUUCAUAUUACACAAAUAGAGCACAAUUUCUCAUGUCUCUGGUUGUACACAAAGUAGAGUCACAUCCUUCAUGUUUUUAUACAUGUACUUAGGGUAAUGAUGUCCAUCUGAUUCCACCAUCUUUUCUACCCCCAUGCCCCUUCCCUUCCUCUCCCUCACCUUUGCCCUAUCUAAAGUUUGUCUAUUCCUUCCAUGCCCCCCAUCCCCAUUAUGAAUCAGCAUCCUUAUAUCAGAGAACAUUAGGCUUUGUUUGGGGAGGAUUAGCUUACUUCACUUAGCAUUAUAUCCUCCAGCCCCACCCAUUUACCUGCAAAUGCCAUGAUUUUAUUCUCUUUUAAUGCUGAGUAAUAGUCCAUUGUGUAUAUAUACCACAUUUUCUUUAUCCAUUCAUCUAGUGAAGUGUAUCUAGGUUGGAUCUGCAAUUUAGCUAUUAUGAAUUGUGCUGCUAUAAACACUCAUGUGGCUGUGUCCCUGUAGUAUGCUGUUUUUAAGUCCUUUGGGUAUAGACUGAGGAAUGGGAUAGCUGGGUCAAAUGGUGGCUCCAUUCCCAGUUUUCCAAGGAUUCUCCAUACUGCUUUCCAGAUUGGUUGCACCAAUUUGCACUCCCACCAGCAAUGUAAGAGUGUACCCUUUUCCCCACAUCCUCACCAACACUUACUGUUGUUUGUAUUCAUAAUUGCUG
Molecule: long non-coding RNA, 1576 nt
Filed under: Marmota monax (woodchuck)
Lineage: Eukaryota; Metazoa; Chordata; Mammalia; Rodentia; Sciuridae
Source: RNAcentral